CAGUAGCGUAUGUAAAAGUUGUUGCAGUUAAAAAGCUCGUAGUUGAACUUGUGAGUUCUUUUAUAAAGUUGUAACUUAGUGUUAAACUUUUCAUAAACGGACUCUUCUUGUUAAAGGCUGUUAACCCAAUUCAUUUUGUGGUUUUCUAGAAUUUGACUUUUUUACCUUGAAGAAAUUGGAGUGUUCAAAGCAGGCUUAAUGCAAUUGAACAUAUCGCAAGGAAUAAUAGAAUAGGAUUGAUUUCUAUUGAGUUGGCAAUAGAUUUCGGUAAUGAUUAAUAGGAACCGUCGGGGCUAUCCGUACUCGUGUGCUAGAGGUGAAAUUCUUUGAUUACACGAUGACGAACUGAUGCGAAAGCGUUUAGCAAGGAGGUCUNCAUUAA
This 382-nucleotide ribosomal RNA is filed under the name uncultured eukaryote. Its description in RNAcentral is "partial 18S ribosomal RNA". It matches the Rfam family "Eukaryotic small subunit ribosomal RNA", at positions 592 to 976 of the family's 1831-position model. The record is from RNAcentral.